AAGCCGGUCUCAGUUCGGAUCGGGGUCUGCAACUCGACCCCGUGAAGUCGGAGUCGCUAGUAAUCGCAGAUCAGCAACGCUGCGGUGAAUACGUUCCCGGGCCUUGUACACACCGCCCGUCACGUCAUGAAAGUCGGUAACACCCGAAGCCAGUGGCCUAACCCUCGGGAGGGAGCUGUCGAAGGUGGGAUCGGCGAUUGGGACGAAGUCGUAACAAGGUAGCCGUACCGGAA
RNAcentral lists this ribosomal RNA (233 nucleotides) under Mycobacterium tuberculosis. Its description in RNAcentral is "partial 16S ribosomal RNA". It matches the Rfam family "Bacterial small subunit ribosomal RNA", at positions 1279 to 1510 of the family's 1533-position model. The record is from RNAcentral. Lineage: Bacteria; Bacillati; Actinomycetota; Actinomycetes; Mycobacteriales; Mycobacteriaceae.